AGGCGGAGACUUGGGCAAUUGCU
Molecule: non-coding RNA, 23 nt
Filed under: Sarcophilus harrisii (Tasmanian devil)
Lineage: Eukaryota; Metazoa; Chordata; Mammalia; Dasyuromorphia; Dasyuridae
Also listed under: 20 other names
Source: RNAcentral